Molecule: non-coding RNA, 86 nt
Filed under: Sporomusa sphaeroides
Lineage: Bacteria; Bacillati; Bacillota; Negativicutes; Selenomonadales; Sporomusaceae
Also listed under: 1 other name
Description: Sporomusa sp. c-di-GMP sequence
Rfam family: c-di-GMP-I riboswitch aptamer
About the family: GEMM was predicted in a large-scale screen for bacterial structured RNA regulatory elements. Genes associated with GEMM are involved in a diverse array of functions, including chemotaxis regulation, signal transduction, secretion and chitin.
Source: RNAcentral
UUUAAGAAUUGGCAUACCCGUUGAAAAGCGGUGACGCAAAGCCGUGGGUCUAACGGCAUGAUGCCUAUGACUGCCUGGUUGCUCUU